Molecule: ribosomal RNA, 497 nt
Filed under: uncultured bacterium
Lineage: Bacteria
Description: partial 16S ribosomal RNA
Rfam family: Bacterial small subunit ribosomal RNA
Source: RNAcentral
GAUGAACGCUGGCGGCGUGCCUAAUACAUGCAAGUCGAACGAACAGACAAGGAGCUUGCUCCUCUGACGUUAGCCGCGGACGUGAGAGUAACGCGUGUGUAACCUACCUGUAAGACUGGGAUAACAUCGGGAAACCGGAGCUAAUACCGGAUAAGAUAUUGAACCGCAUGGUUCAAUGGAGAAAUACGGUUUUGCUGUUUCUAAUAGAUGGUUCCGCGCCGCAUUAGCGAGUUGGUAAGGUAACGGCUUACCAAGGCAACGAUGCGUAGCCGAGCUGAGAGGGUGAUCGGCCACACUGGAACUGAGACACGGUCCAGACUCCUACGGGAGGCAGCAGUAGGGAAUCUUGCGCAAUGGGCGAAAGCCUGACGGAGCAACGCCGCGUGAGUGAUGAAGGUCUUCGGAUCGUAAAACUCUGUUAUUCGGGAAGAACAAAUGUGUAAGUAACUAUGCACGUCUUGACGGUACCUAAUCAGAAAGCCACGGCUAACUACGUG